AUUGAACGCUGGCGGCAGGCCUAACACAUGCAAGUCGAGCGGAUGAAGGGAGCUUGCUCCUGGAUUCAGCGGCGGACGGGUGAGUAAUGCCUAGGAAUCUGCCUGGUAGUGGGGGAUAACGUCCGGAAACGGGCGCUAAUACCGCGUACGUCCUGAGGGAGAAAGUGGGGGAUCUUCGGACCUCACGCUAUCAGAUGAGCCUAGGUCGGAUUAGCUAGUUGGUGGGGUAAAGGCCUACCAAGGCGACGAUCCGUAACUGGUCUGAGAGGAUGAUCAGUCACACUGGAACUGAGACACGGUCCAGACUCCUACGGGAGGCAGCAGUGGGGAAUAUUGGACAAUGGGCGAAAGCCUGAUCCAGCCAUGCCGCGUGUGUGAAGAAGGUCUUCGGAUUGUAAAGCACUUUAAGUUGGGAGGAAGGGCAGUAAGUUAAGACCUUGCUGUUUUGACGUUACCAACAGAAUAAGCACCGGCGAACUUCGU
Molecule: ribosomal RNA, 483 nt
Filed under: uncultured bacterium
Lineage: Bacteria
Description: partial 16S ribosomal RNA
Rfam family: Bacterial small subunit ribosomal RNA
Source: RNAcentral